RNAcentral lists this ribosomal RNA (499 nucleotides) under uncultured Glomeromycotina. Its description in RNAcentral is "partial small subunit ribosomal RNA". It matches the Rfam family "Eukaryotic small subunit ribosomal RNA", at positions 591 to 1092 of the family's 1831-position model. The record is from RNAcentral. Lineage: Eukaryota; Fungi; Glomeromycota.
CCAAUAGCGUAUAUUAAAGUUGCUGCAGUUAAAAAGCUCGUAGUUGAAUUUCGGGACUAAUAUGUCGGUCGUGCCUCGGUACGUACUGGUAUUUUUGGUUUCUCCCUUCUGACGAACCUUGAUGUCAUUCAUUUGGUGUCUUGGGAAAUCAGGACUGUGACUUUGAAAAAAUUUGAGUGUUUAAAGCAGGCCUACGCUUGAAUACAUUAGCAUGGAAUAAUGAAAUAGGACGUUUGAUUCUAUUUUGUUGGUUUCUAGGAUCGACGUAAUGAUUAAUAGGGAUAGUUGGGGGCAUUAGUAUUCAAUUGUCAGAGGUGAAAUUCUUGGAUUUAUUGAAGACUAACUACUGCGAAAGCAUUUGCCAAGGAUGUUUUCAUUAAUCAAGAACGAAAGUUAGGGGAUCGAAGACGAUCAGAUACCGUCGUAGUCUUAACCAUAAACUAUGCCGACUAGGGAUCGGAUGAUGUUAAUUUUUUAAUGACUCAUUCGGCGCCUUACG